UGAGCAGAGCAUGCCCAGCCCUCAGCUCCAGCCACAUCCCAAGUGAAGCACUGUGGUCCACCGGCUGCAAGCAGAAAACUACUGCCAGGCUGGAUUCGGACUAUUGCCCUUAUUUCCCACCUGCCAGGCCCAUCGUUGGCUGGCAGCCUUGAAUGCUGUCCUGGACC
Capra hircus (goat) is the source of this 167-nucleotide unclassified non-coding RNA. The record is from Ensembl. Lineage: Eukaryota; Metazoa; Chordata; Mammalia; Artiodactyla; Bovidae.